GAAGAUGACGAGUGGCGGACGGGUGAGUAAUGCUUGGGAACUUGCCUUUGCGAGGGGGAUAACAGUUGGAAACGACUGCUAAUACCGCAUAAUGUCUUCGGACCAAACGGGGCUUCGGCUCCGGCGCAAAGAGAGGCCCAAGUGAGAUUAGCUAGUUGGUAAGGUAACGGCUUACCAAGGCGACGAUCUCUAGCUGUUCUGAGAGGAAGAUCAGCCACACUGGGACUGAGACACGGCCCAGACUCCUACGGGAGGCAGCAGUGGGGAAUAUUGCACAAUGGGGGAAACCCUGAUGCAGCCAUGCCGCGUGUGUGAAGAAGGCCUUCGGGUUGUAAAGCACUUUCAGUUGUGAGGAAAAGUUAGUAGUUAAUACCUGCUAGCCGUGACGUUAACAACAGAAGAAGCACCGGCUAACUCCGUGCCAGCAGCCGCGGUAAUACGGAGGGUGCGAGCGUUAAUCGGAAUUACUGGGCGUAAAGCGCACGCAGGCGGUUUGUUAAGCUAGAUGUGAAAGCCCCGGGCUCAACCUGGGAUGGUCAUUUAGAACUGGCAGACUAGAGUCUUGGAGAGGGGAGUGGAAUUCCAGGUGUAGCGGUGAAAUGCGUAGAUAUCUGGAGGAACAUCAGUGG
RNAcentral lists this ribosomal RNA (629 nucleotides) under Alteromonas sp. M03. Its description in RNAcentral is "bacterial SSU rRNA". It matches the Rfam family "Bacterial small subunit ribosomal RNA", at positions 84 to 715 of the family's 1533-position model. The record is from RNAcentral. Lineage: Bacteria; Pseudomonadati; Pseudomonadota; Gammaproteobacteria; Alteromonadales; Alteromonadaceae.